GGGGACGUAGCUCAAUCGGCAGAGCACCGCUUUUGCAAGGCGGGGGUUAGGGGUUCGAUUCCCCUCGUCUCCACCA
RNAcentral lists this transfer RNA (76 nucleotides) under Actinopolyspora xinjiangensis. RNAcentral's name for it is "tRNA_Ala_TGC". It matches the Rfam family "tRNA". From Rfam's summary of the family: Transfer RNA (tRNA) molecules are approximately 80 nucleotides in length. Their secondary structure includes four short double-helical elements and three loops (D, anti-codon, and T loops). Lineage: Bacteria; Bacillati; Actinomycetota; Actinomycetes; Actinopolysporales; Actinopolysporaceae. RNAcentral also lists the same sequence under 6 other names. The record is from RNAcentral.